RNAcentral lists this ribosomal RNA (1034 nucleotides) under Alcaligenes sp. BN20. Its description in RNAcentral is "bacterial SSU rRNA". It matches the Rfam family "Bacterial small subunit ribosomal RNA", at positions 451 to 1485 of the family's 1533-position model. The record is from RNAcentral. Lineage: Bacteria; Pseudomonadati; Pseudomonadota; Betaproteobacteria; Burkholderiales; Alcaligenaceae.
AAGGUAUUCCCCUAUACGGGAUACUGCUGACGGUAUCUGCAGAAUAAGCACGGCUACUACGUGCCAGCAGCCGCGGUAAUACGUAGGGUGCAAGCGUUAAUCGGAAUUACUGGGCGUAAAGCGUGUGUAGGCGGGUCGGAAAGAAAGAUGUGAAAUCCCAGGGCUCAACCUUGGAACUGCAUUUUUAACUGCCGAGCUAGAGUAUGUCAGAGGGGGGUAGAAUUCCACGUGUAGCAGUGAAAUGCGUAGAUAUGUGGAGGAAUACCGAUGGCGAAGGCAGCCCCCUGGGAUAAUACUGACGCUCAGACACGAAAGCGUGGGGAGCAAACAGGAUUAGAUACCCUGGUAGUCCACGCCCUAAACGAUGUCAACUAGCUGUUGGGGCCGUUAGGCCUUAGUAGCGCAGCUAACGCGUGAAGUUGACCGCCUGGGGAGUACGGUCGCAAGAUUAAAACUCAAAGGAAUUGACGGGGACCCGCACAAGCGGUGGAUGAUGUGGAUUAAUUCGAUGCAACGCGAAAAACCUUACCUACCCUUGACAUGUCUGGAAAGCCGAAGAGAUUUGGCCGUGCUCGCAAGAGAACCGGAACACAGGUGCUGCAUGGCUGUCGUCAGCUCGUGUCGUGAGAUGUUGGGUUAAGUCCCGCAACGAGCGCAACCCUUGUCAUUAGUUGCUACGCAAGAGCACUCUAAUGAGACUGCCGGUGACAAACCGGAGGAAGGUGGGGAUGACGUCAAGUCCUCAUGGCCCUUAUGGGUAGGGCUUCACACGUCAUACAAUGGUCGGGACAGAGGGUCGCCAACCCGCGAGGGGGAGCCAAUCUCAGAAACCCGAUCGUAGUCCGGAUCGCAGUCUGCAACUCGACUGCGUGAAGUCGGAAUCGCUAGUAAUCGCGGAUCAGAAUGUCGCGGUGAAUACGUUCCCGGGUCUUGUACACACCGCCCGUCACACCAUGGGAGUGGGUUUCACCAGAAGUAGGUAGCCUAACCGUAAGGAGGGCGCUUACCACGGUGGGAUUCAUGACUGGGGGAAG